GCCCGCGUAGGGGAGCGUCGUCCGUGUCCACUGCGGCUGGGUGGCCGGGUUCUUCACCGGUACGAGCCCGGUCUCGGACAC
RNAcentral lists this transfer RNA (81 nucleotides) under Streptomyces sp. S4.7. RNAcentral describes it as "tRNA-Arg". Lineage: Bacteria; Bacillati; Actinomycetota; Actinomycetes; Kitasatosporales; Streptomycetaceae. The record is from RNAcentral.